This 956-nucleotide long non-coding RNA is filed under the name Trifolium pratense (red clover). Its description in RNAcentral is "long non-coding RNA (TPRA_LNC002147)". Lineage: Eukaryota; Viridiplantae; Streptophyta; Magnoliopsida; Fabales; Fabaceae. The record is from RNAcentral.
AACACUAAAAGGGGAACCAGGUUGGUCUUAAUUCUUGAAUUUGUUUGGCAAUAAGGGAAACAUUGAGACACUUGUGAAAUUCCAUGAGUUUCCUUUUUGAUCAGAUCUUGCAUUCAGAAAGAUGAGGAUUGUGGAAGCUAUUGAAAAAGAAUUGGGUAGUGAAAGGUAUUUUGCUCUCUUAGUUGUUCGAUUCAAGUCUUUACAUCAGAGUUCAAACUAUCCUCCACUAGGUUAGGCUUAGUGUGUUUAUACAGUAUUAGUUACAAUGAUGAUUCUAGAGCCUUUGUAUGUUUGUGUAACUGAUUCCUAAUUCUAAUCAUGGAUGGAGGUCUCACAAUUUGAUGUCUUACUUUAUUGCACUAUUUAUGCAGCCCAGACAGGCAAGAAUAGAAUAACCAGAAACAUCUUACUAAGACCAGAAAAAAUAGCACUAACUGCAGAAAAUUAAAAACCAGAAGACCAUAAAGUAGCACAACUGAUGCAGGAAAAACACGCAGAGCAGCAUACAACCCCAGGUCUUCGAUCACCGCCACAUACAAAUCACCGGUUCGUUCAACCACUCAUAUAAAAGACAAUGAUGCACUUUCUCAUUAGAUAGUUUCUUAGUCUCUACAUGAUAUACAUUAACCUCUAUAUAUCACUUAACAUGUUUAUAAUUUUAUCUGAUAUUUAUACAAUGUAAUCAUAUUCCAUCUCCGAGUAUACACAGAGGUUUCUAAUUCUGAUCAUGGAUAGAGGUCUCAUAAUUCGAUGUCUUACUUUAUUGCACGAUUUAUAAACAUCCGGAUGUCGAUAUAGAUUCACAAUUUUUUGUACUCACAUUGUUUUAUUUCGUGAGUUUUGAUCAUUUUUUUUUUUGGCUUUGGUUUUCAUGAUUAAUUAAAUGCAGGUUCAAUUUGGGUUUUCUUCCUUUCAUUAAGGUAUGUAUUCCAUACAAAAUUUGCAUUGUUUAGUGU